This 522-nucleotide long non-coding RNA is filed under the name Pan troglodytes (chimpanzee). RNAcentral's name for it is "long non-coding RNA NONPTRT013701". Lineage: Eukaryota; Metazoa; Chordata; Mammalia; Primates; Hominidae. The record is from RNAcentral.
AUCCUACUCAAAGCAUCUCAAAUCACGUACUGUGGUAAAUACUGUUCUGGCCUAACCACUCUACGUCACACAAACUUAACUGAACAGGUGAGGACAGAGAAAGCAAGCAAAGGAGAGAGCAAUUCUAAAGAGUAGAAAGCUAUUCACCAGGUCACACAUCUCCUGCCCUUGGAAUUAGGAAAGAAACCCACCAUUCUGCCCUGUGUCAGAAUGAGGGAAAAAGCAUCUGCUGCCAAAGCAUGGUGAAUCCUUUAUAAAGGAAAUUGUCACUUCCAAGUAAUAAUUAUUCUUCAUUUUCAUAAUUAUAUAUCUAGAUUAAAGCUAGUAACAUAACUGAAAAAGUUGCCAAUGGAUAGAAAAAUGUUGCAUAACAAAUAAGAAUUCUAUUUACGAUGUGGAGUCACAUCACUGUCAUUAAUGGAAAGUGACUACAGUCUUUGUUUUAAUAAAAAUCACCACGUAAGUCCCUGGGGCUGGCUUCCAGCAAAGAGGGGCAUAUCUGAUGGAAGAGGGCAAAGGCAG